This is a long non-coding RNA of Archocentrus centrarchus (flier cichlid), 419 nucleotides long. RefSeq lists it as uncharacterized. The record is from RefSeq and is a predicted model, not a curated record. NCBI's taxonomy places the organism in Eukaryota, Metazoa, Chordata, Actinopteri, Cichliformes, Cichlidae. The transcript has 3 exons.
UAAAUUCUUUUACGGGCCUGGCCUUGAGAUUUUUAACCCUAAAAUGAGGAAAACUCGGGUUUUCUAUUGCAUGGCACUGAACAGGAGUGUCCCUCCAAUCUCAUUGUACAUCCUGUAUAAUGACAGUAAAGGUAUUCUAUUCUACUCUAUUUCAGUUCCAGAAAGAGAGCGAACUCCAAUUCUUCAGUUACCGGGAUGUCUACUGGGAUUUUCCCACACAGCCAUCUCUGGGGUUGAUGGAAAAUGGUCCAAAAAUAUUCAGUGAGCACCAGUUCUUUGGGAGGAAAUGCCUUGUUGGUCGCAGAGGUCGGAGGUCACAGAUUUAAACCUCCAGAUGAAGUUGGAACAAUCAGCUGAGCUCGUUGCCUUGUUGUCACGUCAGCUCCAAGGUCUUGGCAGGAGUGAAGACACCACCGGAA